RNAcentral lists this long non-coding RNA (1947 nucleotides) under Marmota monax (woodchuck). Lineage: Eukaryota; Metazoa; Chordata; Mammalia; Rodentia; Sciuridae. The record is from RNAcentral.
CAAUGCCUCAUGCGUACAAGGCAAGUGCUCUACCACUGAGCCACAACCCCAGCCCAGUUUUUUUAAUUUUUUAAGCAGCUUUAUUGAGAUAUAAUUUACAUACCAUACAAUUCAACCAUUUAAGGUAUGCAAUUCAGUGAUUUUUUUGUAUAUUUUAAAAUUGUGGUUAAAAUAUGUAUGUGUGUGUAUGUAUACACACACACACACAAUAUUUGCCAUUUUAAACUGUUUUUGUGUGUGUGAUCCUCCUGCCUCAGCCUCCUGAGCCUCUGGGAUUACAGGCGUGUGCUACCGAACCCAGCAACAUUUUCACAGUUCAGUGUCAUUAGUUAUAUUUACAACAUUACUAAAACCUUUUCAUCACUCCAAGUAGAAACUUUUAAAAAUAUUUUUAAAUUAUAAUUUUUUUUUGUACCAGGGAUUGAACCCAGGGGUGCUUUACCUCUGAGCUAUAUCCCACCCCUUUUUAUUUUUUAUUUUAAGAGAGGGUUUCCCUUUUUUCACUUGGAAAUCCAGUUGUGCCAGUUCCAUUUGUUUAUGAAACUGUUCUUCCCCUAUUGGUGGAAUUGGCAGUCUUGUCAAGAAUCAACAGGGCAAGGCUGAUUUAACUAAGUGGUAUAGCAUUUGCCUUCUAUGCAUGAAUUCUUGGGCUCAAUCCCCAGCACUGCACAAACAAAAACUAAAACAAAAAUGACUAAAGUUUUAUGAAUUUAUUUCUAGACUCUCAUUUCAACUUGUCUAUAGGUCUGUCCUUAUGCCAGUAUUAUUAGUAUUUUGAUUACUGUUGCUUUGUAGUAAAAUUUUGAAAUUGGGAUAGGUAAGUCCUCUGACUUUGUUUUUUUUCAAGAUUGUUGUGGCAAAUCAGAACCUCUUGCAUUUCUAUAUAAAUUUGAGAGUUGACUUUUCUAUUUCUGCAUAAAAGGCUGUUGGAAUUUUGAUAGGGGUUUUUGGGUCUGUAGACCACUUUGGGAUUGACAUCUUAAUAUUGAGUCUUCCUAUCCAUAAAUAAGGAAUGUCUUUCCAUUUAUUUAGGUCCUCUUUAAUUUUUGUCAGUAAUGUUUUCUAAUCUUCAGUGUACAAGUGUUUAAUUUCCUUUGUAUUUUAUUCUUUGGUUCCUUGAGUAUUUUUUUUUUUUUUCAAUUUGGUGAACUCACUCUCUCUCUCUCUCUCUCUCUCUCUCUCUCUCUCUCUCUCGUGUGUGUGUGUGUGUGUGUGUGUGUGUGUGUGUGUGUAUGUUUAUGUUUUGGUACUGGGGAUUGAACUGAGGGGCACUUAACCACUGGAGUCACAUUCCCAGCCCUUUUUUGUAUUUUAUUUAGAGACAGUGUUUCAUUGAGUUGCUCAGGGCCUUGCUAAGUUCUGAGGCUAGCCUUGAACUUGGAAUCCUCCUGCCUCAGCCUCCCAAGUAGCUGGGAUUACAGGCAUGCACAGCUGUACCUGGCUCUUGUUUUUAUUCUUAAGUAAAUGAUAAAAUAAUUAAUUUUUUAAAUAUAUUAAGGCACUUAAAUUUGUUACUAAUAAGAUAGUGAUUUUGGUUGAUUAACUAUUUUCAUUCUGAAAAGCUGAGAGAAUAACAUUAGCUAAUUACUUAAAUUUUACUUUAUGUUGUUGAAGAGGAUUUUGAUUGUUAUAUCUACUAGACCUACUUGCCUAGUAGGUCUAACAAUUAGACCUACUAGAAUAGCUUAAAGUUUUUUAUAUCUUCUGAUAGGUAUUUUAUUACUUUUUCAUUGAAGUAAACUGAAAUAACUUUUGUUAGGCAUAUGUGAAUUAAAAAUAAUUUGUAUAAAUGUACUGCUCUUAAAUAAACCAUUAGGAAUAUCUUGGAAUUUCUGUUUUGUUCUUAUAGAUAAGGUUUAGAUGGAAUUUGGCAUGUGGUAAUCUCUAUUUAAUAAAUAAUGAGUUUGUUUUCUGUGUUUUGAUUUCCUGUUUCACAGUUGUACUAGU